This 465-nucleotide ribosomal RNA is filed under the name Vreelandella stevensii. RNAcentral describes it as "partial 16S ribosomal RNA". It matches the Rfam family "Bacterial small subunit ribosomal RNA", at positions 338 to 795 of the family's 1533-position model. The record is from RNAcentral. Lineage: Bacteria; Pseudomonadati; Pseudomonadota; Gammaproteobacteria; Oceanospirillales; Halomonadaceae.
CCUACGGGGGGCUGCAGUGGGGAAUAUUGGACAAUGGGGGGAACCCUGAUCCAGCCAUGCCGCGUGUGUGAAGAAGGCCCUCGGGUUGUAAAGCACUUUCAGUGAGGAAGAACGCCUGGUGGUUAAUACCCAUCAGGAAAGACAUCACUCACAGAAGAAGCACCGGCUAACUCCGUGCCAGCAGCCGCGGUAAUACGGAGGGUGCGAGCGUUAAUCGGAAUUACUGGGCGUAAAGCGCGCGUAGGUGGCUUGAUAAGCCGGUUGUGAAAGCCCCGGGCUCAACCUGGGAACGGCAUCCGGAACUGUCAAGCUAGAGUGCAGGAGAGGAAGGUAGAAUUCCCGGUGUAGCGGUGAAAUGCGUAGAGGUCGGGAGGAAUACCAGUGGCGAAGGCGGCCUUCUGGACUGACACUGACACUGAGGUGCGAAAGCGUGGGUAGCAAACAGGAUUAGAUACCCUGGUAGUC